UNGUUGGCCAUUCCACUGUAGUAAACAGUC
Molecule: non-coding RNA, 30 nt
Filed under: Homo sapiens (human)
Lineage: Eukaryota; Metazoa; Chordata; Mammalia; Primates; Hominidae
Source: RNAcentral